GUGAAGGCACUAUAGUAAUGUAGUAGUCUAAUGAUCAAAGGUCAAACUGUGAUUACAUACAAAAAUGACAAUGAAACGAAUAUGUUUUGAAACCUAGAAAACAUGCAACUAUAUCACGCAAGUCAUUACUCUGGAAAAGAAUUGUUUUGUUGCUACGUCCAAACAGGUGCAUCACUUGUGCCCUCGGAAAUACAUGUACACUUUCUGCAGCACCCACAAGCUAAGCAAAACUUCCAAGCAGAAGAAACCAAAUCCAAUCAAAUAAAAUAUCCCAACCAGCACAUGGUCAGAGAAGACAUCAAUUGCUGCAAGGAUACCCGUUAAGGAUAAUCCUUGAAAUACAAUGGGAGGAGCAAUAGCAGCAAGUAUGCAAAAUCCAAUGUGGAACAAGUAGAACAUGAAAAACCAUCCAAACUUCAAUGCACUGUCGGUCCUCAUUGCGUUAUACAGAGGCCUGUACCACAAAAUGUACGAAAGGGGACAUCCCAUUAAAGCAUAUAUUACAGCCAGGAAAAAGAUUUUAACACCGCCACCCUUAAUCCAACAGAUAGUCACGGCAAGAACAUUGAACGCCAGACAAAAAACAAUGCCUAACCAGCUUGCAAAAGCCAAAUACUGCAGCCGCUGAG
RNAcentral lists this unclassified non-coding RNA (629 nucleotides) under Hevea brasiliensis (rubber tree). The record is from RNAcentral. Lineage: Eukaryota; Viridiplantae; Streptophyta; Magnoliopsida; Malpighiales; Euphorbiaceae.